GACGAACGCUGGCGGCGUGCCUAAUACAUGCAAGUAGAACGCUGAAGAGAGGAGCUUGCUCUUCUUGGAUGAGUUGCGAACGGGUGAGUAACGCGUAGGUAACCUGCCUUGUAGCGGGGGAUAACUAUUGGAAACGAUAGCUAAUACCGCAUAACAAUGGAUGACACAUGUCAUUUAUUUGAAAGGGGCAAUUGCUCCACUACAAGAUGGACCUGCGUUGUAUUAGCUAGUAGGUGAGGUAAUGGCUCACCUAGGCGACGAUACAUAGCCGACCUGAGAGGGUGAUCGGCCACACUGGGACUGAGACACGGCCCAGACUCCUACGGGAGGCAGCAGUAGGGAAUCUUCGGCAAUGGGGGCAACCCUGACCGAGCAACGCCGCGUGAGUGAAGAAGGGUUUCGGAUCGUAAAGCUCUGUUGUAAGUCAAGAACGGGUGUGAGAGUGGAAAGUUCACACUGUGACGGUAGCUUAUCAGAAAGGGACGGCUAACUACGUG
Molecule: ribosomal RNA, 497 nt
Filed under: uncultured bacterium
Lineage: Bacteria
Description: partial 16S ribosomal RNA
Rfam family: Bacterial small subunit ribosomal RNA
Source: RNAcentral